AACGAACGCUGGCGGCAUGCCUAACACAUGCAAGUCGAACGAGACCUUCGGGUCUAGUGGCGCACGGGUGAGUAACGCGUGGGAACCUGCCCUUAGGUUCGGAAUAACUCCCCGAAAGGGGUGCUAAUACCGGAUAAUGUCUUCGGACCAAAGAUUUAUCGCCUUUGGAUGGGCCCGCGUUGGAUUAGCUAGUUGGUAGGGUAAAAGCCUACCAAGGCGACGAUCCAUAGCUGGUCUGAGAGGAUGAUCAGCCACACUGGGACUGAGAAACGGCCCAGACUCCUACGGGAGGCAGCAGUGGGGAAUAUUGGACAAUGGGCGAAAGCCUGAUCCAGCAAUGCCGCGUGAGUGAUGAAGGCCUUAGGGUUGUAAAGCUCUUUUACCCGGGAUGAUAAUGACAGUACCGGGAGAAUAAGCUCCGGCUAACUCCGUG
RNAcentral lists this ribosomal RNA (433 nucleotides) under uncultured bacterium. Its description in RNAcentral is "partial 16S ribosomal RNA". It matches the Rfam family "Bacterial small subunit ribosomal RNA", at positions 29 to 507 of the family's 1533-position model. The record is from RNAcentral.